This 239-nucleotide ribosomal RNA is filed under the name Salmonella enterica. Its description in RNAcentral is "partial 23S ribosomal RNA". It matches the Rfam family "Bacterial large subunit ribosomal RNA", at positions 956 to 1194 of the family's 2925-position model. Lineage: Bacteria; Pseudomonadati; Pseudomonadota; Gammaproteobacteria; Enterobacterales; Enterobacteriaceae. RNAcentral also lists the same sequence under 1 other name. The record is from RNAcentral.
GCGAAUACCGGAGAAUGUUAUCACGGGAGACACACGGCGGGUGCUAACGUCCGUCGUGAAGAGGGAAACAACCCAGACCGCCAGCUAAGGUCCCAAAGUCAUGGUUAAGUGGGAAACGAUGUGGGAAGGCCCAGACAGCCAGGAUGUUGGCUUAGAAGCAGCCAUCAUUUAAAGAAAGCGUAAUAGCUCACUGGUCGAGUCGGCCUGCGCGGAAGAUGUAACGGGGCUAAACCAUGCAC